CGGGGUUGUUUGUGUAGCAAUACAUCGACAACCUAGUGGCGAACGGGUGCGUAACACGUGAGCAAUCUGCCGGGAAGUGGGGGAUAGCUCGCCGAAAGGCGAAUUAAUACCGCAUGUGGCCAGAGGGGACAUCCCUUCGACGCCAAAGUCGCAAGACGCUUCCUGAUGAGCUCGCGGCCUAUCAGCUUGUUGGUGAGGUAACGGCUCACCAAGGCUAUGACGGGUAGCUGGUCUGAGAGGACGACCAGCCACACUGGAACUGAGACACGGUCCAGACACCUACGGGUGGCAGCAGUCGAGAAUUUUUCACAAUGGGGGAAACCCUGAUGGAGCGACGCCGCGUGGAGGAUGAAGGUCUUCGGAUUGUAAACUCCUGUCAUGCGAGAACAAGAAAGUGAUAGUAUCGCAAGAGGAAGAGACGGCUAACUCUGUGCCAGCAGCCGCGGUAAUACAGAGGUCUCAAGCGUUGUUCGGAUUCAUUGGGCGUAAAGGGUGCGUAGGCGGCGUGGUAAGUUGAGUGUGAAAUCCUAGGGCUUAACCUUAGAACUGCACUCAAUACUGCCAUGCUAGAGGAAUGUAGAGGAGAGUGGAAUUCACGGGUGUAGCAGUGAAAUGCGUAGAUAUCGUGAGGAAGACCAGUUGCGAAGGCGACUCUCUGGGCAUUUCCUGACGCUGANGCACGAAGGCCAGGGGAGCAAACGGGAUUAGAUACCCCGGUAGUCCUNNAGUAAACGGUGCACGUUUGGUGUGGGCGGGUUCAGACCCCGUCCGUGCCGGANCUAACGCGUUAAACGUGCCGCCUGGGAAGUACGGUCGCAAGAUUAAAACUCAAAGAAAUUGACGGGGGCCCGCACAAGCGGNGGAG
RNAcentral lists this ribosomal RNA (865 nucleotides) under uncultured bacterium. RNAcentral's name for it is "bacterial SSU rRNA". It matches the Rfam family "Bacterial small subunit ribosomal RNA", at positions 67 to 937 of the family's 1533-position model. The record is from RNAcentral.